This 239-nucleotide ribosomal RNA is filed under the name uncultured eukaryote. RNAcentral's name for it is "partial 18S ribosomal RNA". It matches the Rfam family "Eukaryotic small subunit ribosomal RNA", at positions 1208 to 1456 of the family's 1831-position model. The record is from RNAcentral.
GGGAACCUCACCCGGCCCGGACACCGCGAGGAUUGACAGACUGAGAGCUCUUUCUCGAUUCGGUGGGUGGUGUGCAUGGCCGUUCUUAGUUGGUGGAGCGAUCUGUCUGGUUAAUUCCGAUAACGAACGAGACCCCAACCUGCUAACUAGCCCUCGGGUCCUGCUUCUGUUGGGCCCGACGGAAUGAUUCGCUUCUUAGAGGGACUCGCGGCGCCUAGCCGCACGAAGGGGGGCGAUAA